Non-coding RNA from Callithrix jacchus (white-tufted-ear marmoset), 2338 nucleotides. The record is from the annotation of a RefSeq genome assembly. Lineage: Eukaryota; Metazoa; Chordata; Mammalia; Primates; Cebidae.
CCCUCACCGCCCAGCUGGGAUGUCAGGGCUUCCUUUCCUGUCCUCCUCCAGGAUGGGGUCAACCACCAUCCUCGCCCUCCUCCUCCUGGCUGUUCUCCAAGGUGUCUGUGCUGAGGUGCAGCUGGUGCAGUCUGGAGCAGAGGUGAAAAGGCCCGGGGAGUCGCUGAAGAUCUCCUGUAGGGCUUCUGGAUACAGCUUUAACAGCUACUGGAUCAGCUGGGUGCGACAGAUGCCCGGAAAAGGCCUGGAGUGUAUGGGGAGGAUCUAUCCUGGUGACUCUGAUACCAGAUACAGCCCGUCCUUCCAAGGCCACGUCACCAUCUCAGCCGACAAGUCCAGCAACACCGCCCACCUGCAGUGGAGCAGCCUGAAGGCCUCGGACGCUGCCAUGUAUUACUGUGCGAGAGAUUUGACUACUGGGGCCAGGGGACCCUGGUCACCGUCUCCUCAGCCUCCACCAAGAAUCCAGAUGUCUUCCCCCUGACACCCUGCGGCACCUCUGGGACCACAACGGCCCUGGGCUGCCUGGUCAAGGACUACUUCCCCGAGCCAGUGACCGUGUCCUGGAACUCAGGCGCCCUGACCAGUGGCGUGCACACCUUCCCUGCUGUCCUGCGGUCCUCGGGACUUUACUCCCUCAGCAGCAUGGUGACCACCAGCAGCGCGGGCAGCCAGACCUACACCUGCAACGUCGUCCACACGCCCACCGGCUUCAAGAAGGACGUGCCAGUGCCAUUGAAACCUAAUGGCUCAUCACACUGUCCCCCAUGCCCAGCACCUGAAUUCCUGGGGGGACCAUCAGUCUUCCUCUUCCCCCCAAAACCCAAGGACGUCCUCAGGAUCACCGGAACCCCUGAGGUCACUUGCGUGGUGGUGGAUGUGAGCCAGGACGACCCUGAGGUCCAGUUCAAUUGGUACGUGGACGGCGUGGAGGUGCGCACUGCCAAGACGAGUCCGAGGGAGGAGCAGCACAACAGCACGUUCCGCGUGGUCAGCGCCCUCCCUGUCCUGCACCAGGACUGGCUGAAGGGCAAGGAGUACAGAUGCAAGGUCACCAACAAAGCCCUCCCGGCCCCCGUCCAGAAAACCAUCCACAAAGCCAAAGGGACGCCCCGAGAGCCGCAGGUGUACACCCUGCCCCCAGCGCGGGAGGAGAUGAGCAGGAGCCGGGUCAGCCUGACCUGCCUGAUCCAAGGCUUCUACCCCAGCGACAUCGCCGUGGAGUGGGAGAGCAACGGGCAGCCGGAGAACAACUACAAGAACACGCAGCCCGUGCUGGACUCCGACGGCUCCUUCUUCCUCUACAGCAAGCUCACCGUGGACAAGCAGAGGUGGCAGCAGGGGAGCGUCUUCUCGUGCUCCGUGAUGCACGAGGCUCUGCACAACCACUACACGCAGAAGAGCCUCUCCGCGUCUCCGGAGCUGAUAGUGGAGGAGAGCUGUGUGGAGGCGCAGGACGGGGAGCUGGACGGGCUGUGGACAACCAUCACCAUCUUCAUCACACUCUUCCUGCUGAGUGUGUGCUACAGUGCCACCGUCACCUUCUUCAAGGUCAAGUGGAUCUUCUCCUCAGUGGUGGACCUAAAGCAGACCAUCGUCCCCGACUACAGGAACAUGAUCGGGCAGGGGGCCUAGGGCCACCCUCUGCUGGAAGUGCAGGGCUGCCCAGACCUCACACAGGAGCCAUGGGCCACACUCAGCCACUGCCCAGGCCAUGCCUGCCCCUGACCUCACUGCCCUCGACCCCGUGGCUCUCUGGCCUCGCAGUCGCUCUCUGACCUGCCACACCCGAUGCGCCCCCGUUUGAGCUUGUGCAUAGCAGGUCUGUCCCAGAUCUCUGCUGCUUGGUGCAUGCAGGGCGCUGGGGCCAGGUGUCCCCUCAGCACGACACCUCUGCCCUCCAGCCCCCCAGCUGCUCACACAAAAGGAGGCAGCGGCCAGCAUCCCAGGCACCCACCCAGGCAGGAACCAGCCUGGAGCCAACCCCGUCCACACCAGUCUCCUCAACACAGACAUGGCCAGUGGAAGCUUCCGCCACCAAGCCGGGAAGUCACAGCACCCUCGGGCCCUGCUGGGGAGGCUUUGGAGAGCAGAGAAUGCUCAGGUGGCCCUCCUCCCAGCCCGAGGCCAGCCAGGCUCCAUUCUGGGCAGUCCCGUGAACUCCUGACGUGAGGAAUGAGGGUAAAGAACCCUGUUCUCUGGCUCCUGGGAAGACGCCUCCCACGGAGCAGGGUCUCAGGUGCCAGCACCGCCUCUUGGCUGCCUGCUCACGCUGCUGCAUUCUCAGGACUGGAACUCGACCCGCAGGGACAGGCAGCCUCAGAGUCUGCACUGGGAA